Molecule: ribosomal RNA, 418 nt
Filed under: Annelida environmental sample
Lineage: Eukaryota; Metazoa; Annelida
Description: partial large subunit ribosomal RNA
Rfam family: Bacterial large subunit ribosomal RNA
Source: RNAcentral
AGGUAGCAUAAUCAUUUGCCUAUUAAUUGUUGGCUAGUAUGAAAGGACAAACGAGAAUAGGGCUGUCUCCUUCAAGAAACUAAAAAUUUAUCUUUAAGUGAAGAAGCUUAAAUUCUAUCGCAGGACAAGAAGACCCUAUAGAGCUUUACCUAUUACAUAUACCUAAAAUAAAAAAUAGGUUCGGUUGGGGCGACCAAGGGACAUUUAUCACCCUUAACUAAAAAGAUUUACAAAUCAUUAAAAUGAUCCUUACAAAAAGAUCAACGAAUCAAGCUACCUUAGGGAUAACAGGCUAAUUCUCCUUUAGAGCCCUUAUCAACAGGAGAGGUUGGCACCUCGAUGUUGGCUUAGGAAUUCUUCAUGACGCAGCAGUCACUGAAAGAUGGUUUGUUCAACCAUAAAACCCCUACAUGAUCUG